Molecule: ribosomal RNA, 253 nt
Filed under: uncultured bacterium
Lineage: Bacteria
Description: partial 16S ribosomal RNA
Rfam family: Archaeal small subunit ribosomal RNA
Source: RNAcentral
UACCAGCACCCCGAGUGGUCGGGACGUUUAUUGGGCCUAAAGCAUCCGUAGCCGGUUCUGCAAGUCUUCCGUUAAAUCCACCUGCUUAACAGAUGGGCCGCGGAAGAUACUAUAGAGCUAGGAGGCGGGAGAGGCAAGCGGUACUCGAUGGGUAGGGGUAAAAUCCGUUGAUCCAUUGAAGACCACCAGUGGCGAAGGCGGCUUGCCAGAACGCGCUCGACGGUGAGGGAUGAAAGCUGGGGGAGCAAGCCGG